RNAcentral lists this transfer RNA (57 nucleotides) under Salmo salar (Atlantic salmon). It matches the Rfam family "tRNA", at positions 8 to 63 of the family's 71-position model. Rfam says of the family: Transfer RNA (tRNA) molecules are approximately 80 nucleotides in length. Their secondary structure includes four short double-helical elements and three loops (D, anti-codon, and T loops). The record is from Rfam by way of RNAcentral. Lineage: Eukaryota; Metazoa; Chordata; Actinopteri; Salmoniformes; Salmonidae.
UAGCUCAGUUGGUAGAGCAUGGUGCUAGCAACGCCAGGCUGUGGGUUCGAUUCCCAC